This 445-nucleotide ribosomal RNA is filed under the name uncultured bacterium. Its description in RNAcentral is "partial 16S ribosomal RNA". It matches the Rfam family "Bacterial small subunit ribosomal RNA", at positions 354 to 796 of the family's 1533-position model. The record is from RNAcentral.
GUGAGGAAUAUUGGACAAUGGAUGGAAAUCUGAUCCAGCCAUGCCGCGUGCAGGAAGACGGCCCUAUGGGUUGUAAACUGCUUUUGUAUGGGAGCAAUAAGGGCUACGUGUAGCCUGAUGAGAGUACCAUACGAAUAAGGACCGGCUAACUCCGUGCCAGCAGCCGCGGUAAUACGGAGGGUCCGAGCGUUAUCCGGAUUUAUUGGGUUUAAAGGGUGCGUAGGCGGUUUUAUAAGUCAGCGGUGAAAUUUUCCGGCUCAACCGGGAUACUGCCGUUGAUACUGUAAGGCUAGGAUAUGGUUGCUGUGGGUGGAAUGUGUGGUGUAGCGGUGAAAUGCUUAGAGAUCACACAGAAUAUCGAUUGCGAAGGCAGCUCACAAAGCCAUUAUUGACGCUGAGGCACGAAAGUGUGGGGAUCAAACAGGAUUAGAAACCCCUGUAGUCC